AGAGAGUUAGUCUAACAAAGACAGUUGAUUUCGACUCAACAAAUCAUAGCCUGACCCUAUGACUCUCUU
RNAcentral lists this transfer RNA (69 nucleotides) under Himantopus himantopus (black-winged stilt). Its description in RNAcentral is "tRNA-Arg". Lineage: Eukaryota; Metazoa; Chordata; Aves; Charadriiformes; Recurvirostridae. The record is from RNAcentral.